GCACGUCGAACGAACUUACGUCCCUUGAUUAUGACGUACUUGUACUGAUUGAGAUUUUAACACGAAGUGAGUGGCGAACGGGUGAGUAACACGUGGGUAACCUGCCCAGAAGUAGGGGAUAACACCCGGAAACAGAUGCUAAUACCGUAUAACAGAGAAAACCGCAUGGUUUUCUUUUAAAAGAUGGCUCUGCUAUCACUUCUGGAUGGACCCGCGGCGUAUUAGCUAGUUGGUGAGGUAAAGGCUCACCAAGGCAGUGAUACGUAGCCGACCUGAGAGGGUAAUCGGCCACAUUGGGACUGAGACACGGCCCAGACUCCUACGGGAGGCAGCAGUAGGGAAUCUUCCACAAUGGACGCAAGUCUGAUGGAGCAACGCCGCGUGAGUGAAGAAGGGUUUCGGCUCGUAAAGCUCUGUUGUUAAAGAAGAACGUGGGUAAGAGUAACUGUUUACCCAGUGACGGUAUUUAACCAGAAAGCCACGGCUAACUACGUGCCAGCAGCCGCGGUAAUACGUAGGUGGCAAGCGUUAUCCGGAUUUAUUGGGCGUAAAGCGAGCGCAGGCGGUCUUUUAAGUCUAAUGUGAAAGCCUUCGGCUCAACCGAAGAAGUGCAUUGGAAACUGGGAGACUUGAGUGCAGAAGAGGACAGUGGAACUCCAUGUGUAGCGGAGAAAUGCGUAGAUAUAUGGAAGAACACCAGUGGCGAAGGCGGCUGUCUGGUCUGCAACUGACGCUGAGGCUCGAAAGCAUGGGUAGCGAACACGAUUAGAUA
RNAcentral lists this ribosomal RNA (772 nucleotides) under Pediococcus pentosaceus. RNAcentral describes it as "bacterial SSU rRNA". It matches the Rfam family "Bacterial small subunit ribosomal RNA", at positions 57 to 784 of the family's 1533-position model. The record is from RNAcentral. Lineage: Bacteria; Bacillati; Bacillota; Bacilli; Lactobacillales; Lactobacillaceae.